RNAcentral lists this ribosomal RNA (253 nucleotides) under uncultured bacterium. Its description in RNAcentral is "partial 16S ribosomal RNA". It matches the Rfam family "Bacterial small subunit ribosomal RNA", at positions 524 to 776 of the family's 1533-position model. The record is from RNAcentral.
UACGUAGGGGGCUAGCGUUGUCCGGAAUCAUUGGGCGUAAAGCGCGCGUAGGCGGCCCGGUAAGUCCGCUGUGAAAGUCAAAGGCUCAACCUUUGAAUGUCAGCGGAUACUGCCGGGCUAGAGUCCGGAAGAGGCGAGUGGAACUCCUGGUGUAGCGGUGGAAUGCGCAGAUAUCAGGAGGAGCACCAAUAGCGAAGGCAGCUCGCUGGGACGGUACUGACGCUAAGGCGCGAAAGCGUGGGGAGCGAACAGG